RNAcentral lists this long non-coding RNA (311 nucleotides) under Homo sapiens (human). RNAcentral describes it as "HSALNT0228818". Lineage: Eukaryota; Metazoa; Chordata; Mammalia; Primates; Hominidae. The record is from RNAcentral.
GUGGAGCUGAGGGUGGAAGGGGAGUGAGCUGACGCUCGGAAGGUGUCUUGAGAUUAUCAUCCGCUGAGGGUGGAAGGGGAGUGAGCAGACACUCAGGAGGUGUCUUGAGAUUAUCAUCCGCUGAGGGUGGAAGGGGAGUGAGCACACACUCGGGAGGUGUCUUGAGAUUAUCAUCCGCUGAGGGUGGAAGGGGAGUGAGCACACACUCGGGAGGUGUCUUGAGGCUCAGGGAGUUAUCAGUUAUAGAAUGUUGUUGAGUUGGAGGAGGUGGCUGGUGGCCCAUCCUGUUUUUUAAAGUUUCAGCUGUGAGG